GGAUCCAGACUUUGAUUAUGGCUCAGGAUGAACGCUAGCGGCAGGCUUAACACAUGCAAGUCGAGGGGCAGCGCGGGAUAGCAAUAUUCUGGCGGCGACCGGCGGAAGGGUGCGUAACGCGUGAGCGACAUGCCCGUUGCCCGGGGACAACCGGUGGAAACGCCGACUAAUCCCCGAUGGGAUACGAUGCUGCAUGGCAUUGUAUUGAAAGUUACGGCGGCGACGGAUUGGCUCGCGUCCGAUUAGCUUGUUGGCGGGGUGACGGCCCACCAAGGCUACGAUCGGUAGGGGUUCUGAGAGGAAGGCCCCCCACAAUGGGACUGAGACACGGCCCAUACUCCUACGGGAGGCAGCAGUGAGGAAUAUUGGUCAAUAGGCGGAAGCCUGAACCAGCCAUGCCGCGUGCGGGAAGGAGGCCCUAUGGGCUGUGAACCGCUUUUGCCUGGGGGCAAUAAGGGCGUCGCGCACGUCCGAUGAGAGUACCAGGCGAAUAAGCAUCGGCUACACCGUGCCAGCAGCCGCGGUAAUACGGGGGAUGCGAGCGUUAUCCGGAUUCAUUGGGUUUAAAGGGUGCGUAGGCUGUGCGUCAAGUCGGGGGUGAAAUUCCGGUGCUCAACACCGGGGCUGCCCUUGAUACUGUCGCGCUGGAGUGCGGAUGCCGCCGGAGGAAUGAGUGGUGUAGCGGUGAAAUGCUUAGAUAUCACUCAGAACACCGAUUGCGAAGGCAUCUGGCGAAUCCGUAACUGACGCUGAGGCACGAAAGCGUGGGGAUAGAACAGGAUUAGAUACCCUGGUAUUCCACGCCGUAAACGAUGAUGGCUAACCGCCGGCGACACACUGUCGGUGGCCAAGCGAAAGCGAUAAGCCAUCCACCUGGGGAGUACGUCGGCAACGAUGCAACUCAAAUGAAUUGACGG
RNAcentral lists this ribosomal RNA (917 nucleotides) under uncultured Bacteroidota bacterium. RNAcentral's name for it is "bacterial SSU rRNA". It matches the Rfam family "Bacterial small subunit ribosomal RNA", at positions 1 to 916 of the family's 1533-position model. The record is from RNAcentral. Lineage: Bacteria; Pseudomonadati; Bacteroidota.